Molecule: long non-coding RNA, 8164 nt
Filed under: Fragaria vesca (wild strawberry)
Lineage: Eukaryota; Viridiplantae; Streptophyta; Magnoliopsida; Rosales; Rosaceae
Description: long non-coding RNA (FVES_LNC001139)
Source: RNAcentral
AAAAACACAAGGAACAAGCUCACUAACAACUCCACAAGCUACCUAAUUAACACAAUUAAUAACCUUAGUAACCAUUCAAACUAAAAUGUAACACUUGCCCUCUUAACCCAAAACUUAAAUCGAGGGUUUGCCCAAAGAAGGACAACCUUCCAAGGUCGUUGAAUUUAACGACCCAAAACUGCUGCUUCUAAUUCUCAAACUUCCAAAGUUCACAACAUCCCAAAACACCUAUGAAUAACAUAGAACCUAGCAUGCAAUCCUUACUCAUAACCUAGAAUUUCCACAACUCAACAUGCUCACAACAACAAGAGUUAGCUAACCAAAGAAACUAAAGCUACAACACUACCGGACGUGCUGCCACGCACCACCACAGGCGGCGACGAGUGGGCCCCACGCGCCACCCCAUCAACUUCAAAACUGAGCAAGCUCCCAACAACAAACUUGUAGGUCACAUCAAAUGGAACACUUUUCAUACCUGUGGCCAAAGCCAAUUCGGCCGGAAACGUCGCCAGAAAGAAACAAGGAGCACUUUGAACUCAAAACUCCACGCUUUGAAUUGGGCUUCAAGGCUAGUAUCAUUAUGCUCAGAAUGACAAGAACUUCCAGAAAUAGGUAGCCUCAAACCUCGAUGUCGCCUGAAUCAGUAGUAACUUGCGGGCCUUGCUGCGCCGUGCAUAGUGCUUCAUAAGGUGUGAGGCUGGUAUGAAUAGAAAGAAGGGAGUGAGAGCUUUCCAACGAUACCAAGCACGCCUAAAUCCGUCGCCGGAUGGCCGAGUUAUGGCGAGGGUUUUUCUGCAAUUUCAGGGUUUCUAAAAAUAACCCACACAUUUUUCUAUUUAUACACCUUCUAAAAUCGGAAACUAACUUUCUCUGACCAUAACUUUUUCAUACAACAUCCAUUUUACGCGUGUCUCGUGUCUACGAACUCUACAACUUUCAUGAAGAAAGAUUUUGAAAAUAACUUACAGAUAAGAAAGUCAACUUUUGGCCUCUUAAAAGUCAAGGUACCUUAAUAAAAUUGACUCUCGAAACUUCAAUUUCACACAUACAAAACGAAAGGAAUUUCCCACAAAUAAUCCUUCAUUAAUUUUGGAAAUAAUACCGGGAAAAUAAUAUGAAAAUCUGGGGUAUUACAAGGAGGGUUAAGGCGGCCGCUUAGCGGCCCUUGGUUGGUCAAGACGGACCGUUGGAGGCCCCUUGACGGCCCUAGGUGUGCCAUGGCGCCCCUUUGGUUGCCCUAGGUGUGCCUAGCAAGGCCGAGGAAGGUCAAGGAGGGACAAAGGCAACCCCUUGGCGGUUGAAGGCAACCCCUUGGCGGCCCUAGGUAGGUUGAGGCGGCCCUUUGGCGGCCCUAGAUAGGUUAAGGCGGGCCUAGGCAUGUCAAGGCGACACCUUGGUUGCCCUAGACGGCUUAAGGUGGCACCUUGGCGGCUCUAGGUAGGUUAAGGCGGCCCUUUGGUGGCCCUAGACGGGUUAAGGCGAGCCUAGGCAAGUCAAGGUGGCCUCUUGGCUGCCCUAGGCGGGUCAAGACGGUACCUUGGCGGCCCCAGGCACUCCCUUGGCGACACUAGGCGGGCCUAGGAGGGCCAAGGAGGGUCAAGGUGGCCCCUUGGCGACCCUAGGCUGGUCAAGGAGGCCGCUACUGAAGAUGGCCCCUUGGCGGUCCUUGGUGGGUCAUGGCGCCCCUAGGUGUGCCUAGCAGGGCCAACGAGGGUCAAGGCGGGCGAAAAUGGGUCAAGGCGGCUCCUUGGUGACCCUAGACGGGCCUCGGAGGGUUAUGACGACCCAUUGGCGAGUUAUGACUGCUUCAAGGCGGCCCUUGAUGGGCCUAGGAGGGUCAAGGCAUCUGUUUAGCAGGUCAAGGCGGCCCCUUGACGCCCCUAGAUGGGUCAAGGUGGCCUAAGACGGCCCAAGGCAGCUCUUUGGCGACUCUAGGCAGCCCCUUGGCUGCCCUAGGCAAGCCUAGGAGGGCCAAAGAGGGUUAAGGCAGGUUAAGGCGGCCCAUUGGGGGCCCUAGUCAAGCCCAGGAGGAUCAAGGCGGCGCAUUGGCGGCCCUAGUCGGGCCUAGGCUGGUCAUGACGGCCCCUUGGUGGCCCUAGGCGGGUCUAGGCGGGUUAAGGCGGCCUCCUGGCGGCCCUAGGAGGGUCAAGGCGGUCCAAGACCUGUCAAGGAAGCCCAAGGCCGAUCUAGGAGGGUGAAGGCGGCCCCUUAGCAGGUCAAGUUGGCCACUUAGCGGCCCUUGGCAGCCUUAGGUGGGUCAUGGCUCCCAAUGUCGAGCCGAUAUUGUUAUAUGAUUUUUCAAAAUCAAUAUGAAGACCGAGAAUGCGACUUAAAUAUUGACCUUAUGUAAUGGAAAAAAUGUGUUUUCCAACAAAAACCUCUUAAGUUAUGAAUGUCUAACCUAAUAGGAGCCUACUCAUGAAUCUUCUCCAACUUUAAUUUUUUCGUCAAAAACUUGUUUUUCCUCAGAAACUGUGGGUUAUAGUACACAUUUUUCGGGUCAAAAACGCAUGUUCUAACUUUUUUCACAAAAAAUUUCUCACAUUUUAGUCCUGAUGUUUUGGCACUUCUCGAACUGACAGAACAAAAAAAUGUCGAGCCGAUUUUUUUAUAUGAUUUUUCAAAGUCAAUAUGAAGACCGAGAAUGCGACCCUUUAGCAUCCCUAGGAGGCCCCUUGGCGGGUCAUAGCGGCCCUAGGCGGGUCAAGACAGCCCCUUGGCGUCUUUAGGCGGGUCAUAGCAGCCCCUUGGUGGUCCUAGGCGGGUUAAGGCGGAACCUUGGCGGCCCUAGACGGGUCAAGGUGGCCCCUUGACUGCCAUUGGCGGGUCAUGGCGGCCCAUUGGCGUCCCUAAACGAGUCAAGGGGGGCCCUACAAGGGUCAUAGCGGUCCUUGGCGGGUCAAGGCGACCCUUAGACGUGUGAAGGCGGCCAGGCGGCCCCUUGGCGGGUCAAGGUGGCCAUAAGCGACCCUAGGUAGGUAAAGGCAGCUACUUUGCGGUCCUAGGCGGGUCAAGGUGGCCCUUUGGUCUCCCUAGGUCAAGAUGGCCGCCAAGGGGGGUCAUGGCGACCCAUUGGCGAGUCAUGGCGGCUUCUUGGUGGCCCUAGGCGGGCCUUGGAGGGUCAAGGAGGCCCUAAACGGGUCUAGGAAAGUCCAAGCGGCCCAAGGCAGGUCAAGCGGGCCUAAGGCAAGCCAUGGCCAGUCAAUGUGGGUCAAGGCGAACCAUGGCGGGAUAAGGCGGCCUCUUAGCGAAUCUAGACGAGUUAAGGCGGGCCAUUUCUGGACCUAGGAGAGCCAAGGCGGGUAAAGGCGGCCCAUUGCCGGCCCUAGACGAGCCUAAGAGGGUCAUGGUGAACCCUUGGCGAGUCGUGGUGGCCCCUUGGUGGCCCUAGGCGGGCCUAGGAGGGUCAAGGCGGCCCUAGGUGGGUCUAGGAGGGUCAAGGCAGCCCUUUAGCGAGUCAAGGCGGCCCUUCGGCUGCCUUUGACGGGUCAAGACGGCCCUUGGUGCCCCUAGAUGGGUCAAGACGGCCUCUUGGUGGCCCUAGGCGAGCCUAGGACGGCCUAGGAAGGUCAAGACGGCCAUAGGCGGGUCUAGGAGGGUCAUGGCGGCACUUUGGUGGCUCUAGCGGGUCAAGGCAAGCCAAGGCGGCCCCUUGGCGGCGUUAGACGGGUGAACGCAACCCCUUGGCGGCCCUAGCGGGGUUAAGGCGACCUCUUGGCGGCCCUAGGAAGGUUAAGGUGGGCUCUACGCGUCGCUUAGCGGCCCUAGGUAGAUAAAGGCGGGUCAAGGCUGCCGCUUGGCGAACUUAGGCAGGUCAACGAGGCCCCUAGGCGAGUCAAAGAAGUCAUGGCAGACCUAUGAGGGUCAUAGCGGCCCCUUGGUGGCCCUAGGCUAGGAGGGCUACGGCGGUCCUAAGCGGAUCAAAAAGGGUCAAGGCAUCCCUUUAGUGGCCUUAGACGGGUGAACAUGGCCACUUGACGGCCCUGGCGGGGUUAAGGCGGGUCAAUGGUCCAAGGCGGCACUAUGUGGGUCAAAGUGGGUUAAGGCGGCCCUAGACGGGUCAAGGCGGCCCCUUUGCAGCCCUAGACGAGCCUUGGAGGGUCAUGGCGGCACUUAGUGGGUCAAAGAAGGUUAAGGUGGGUCAAGGCGGUCUAAGGCGGGUCAAGGAGGCCGCCAGAUCAAGGCGGCUCAAGGUGGGUUAAGGCGGGUUAAGGCGGGUUAAGGCGGUCUUACACAGGUCUAGACGGCCCUAGACGGGUUAAGACGGCCUUUUGGCUAUCCUAGGAGGGUUAAGGCGGCCCCUUGGUGGCCCUAGGCGAGCCUAGGACGGCCUAGGAGGGUCAAGGCGGCCCCUUGGUUGGCCUAGGCAGCGUCUUGGCGGCCCUAGGCAGUCAAGGCGGCCCAAGGGGGGUUAUGGCGGGUUAAGACGGGUCAUGGCAGUCCAAGGCAUCUUAGCGGCCCAAGGCGGGUCAAGACGGCCAAUUGGCGGCCCUAGGCAAGUCAAGGGCCGCCAAUCCCUAAACCCUAAACCCUAAACCCUAAACCCUAAGCGAGCCUAGGAGGAUCAAGGUGGUCCCUUGGCGGCCCUAGACGGGCCUAGGAUGGUCAUGGCUACCUCUUGGCAAGUCAUGGCGUCCCCUUGGUGGCUCUAGGUGGGUCUCGACCGGCCCUAGGAAGGUUAAACAGCCUUAUGCGUGUAAAGACAGCCUCAUGGCGGGUCAAGAUGUCCCCUUAGCGGCCCAAGGCGUGUCAAGGCGGCCCCUUGACGGCCCCUUGAUGGGUCAACUCAGCCCUUGGCGGCCUAAGACGGGUGAACGCGGCCCUUUGGAGGCCCUAGAUGCGUCAAGGCAGCCUCUUGGUGCCCUUUGGUGGCCCUAGAUGCUUCAAGGCGACCCUAGAAGGGUCAAAGUGGCCCCAUGGCGGCCCUAAGCAUCCCUUUGGCAGGUCAAGACGUUCCCUUAGCGGCCAUAGGCAGGUCAAGACGGCCUCUUGGUGGGCCAUGGCGGGUCAAGUGGGGGCCAAAACAUGUGAAGAUGGUUGCCCUAGAUGGGUCAAGGCGACAUCUUGCCGGCCCUAAGAGAGUUAAGGCGGUCGGGCCAUAGCAAGUCAAAGCGGCCGCUCAGCAGCCCUAAAAUGGUCAAGACGGCCCGUUAGCGGCCCCUUGACGGCCCUAGGUGGGUCAUAGUGCCCCCUUGAUUGCCCUAGGUGUGCCUAACAGGGCCAACGAGGUCAAGGAGAGACAAAGCGGCCACUUGGCUACCCUAGGUAGGUCAAGGCGGCUACUUGGCGGCCCUAGGCAGUUCAAGGCAGCCCCUUGGAGGCCCUAGAUAGGUUAAGGCGGCCCUAGAUGGGUUAAGGCGGGCCUAGACAGGUCAAGGUAGCCCCUUGGCUGCCCUAGGCAGCUCAAGGCGGCACCUUGGCCACCCUAGAUAGGUUAAGGCAGCCCUAGGCAGGUUAAGGCAACCCUUUGGCUACCCUAGACGGGUUAAGCCGGGCCUAGGCAGGUCAAGGCGGCCUCUUGGCUGCCCUAGGUGGGUCAUGCCGGCACCUUGGCGGCACUAGGCGGGCCUAGGAGAGCCAAGGAGGGUCAAGGUGGCCCCUUAGCAGCCUUAGACGGGUGAAGGCGACCCAAGGCAGGUGAAGACGGCCCCUUGGCGGCCCUAGGUGUGUCAUGGCGCCCCCUAGGUGUGCCUAGCAGGGCCGAGGAGGGUCAAGGCGGGCCAAAGCGGGUCAAGGCUAGUCAAGGCGGCCCCUUGGCGGCCCUAGACGAGCCUCGGAGGGUCAUGGCCACCAUUUGGCGAGUCAUGGCGGCUUCAAGGCUACCCUAGGCGGGUAUAAGCACACCCAAAUGGAAAAAGCCGGAGGCCCAAAAAAAGUGAAACUGGGCAGAAACUUUUUUGGCUCGAAUUAGGUGAAACUUGAAGUGAGGGACAAUUCCUCAUAUUUUUUUUUUAAACUAAGGUUUCUGAUGUCAAUAUGAGAAGAAUUGAAGAGAACGUAAUCUUAGAAAGUCACUCAAUACCAAUUAAAACAGAAAUUUCAACAGCAUCACAAAACACGGCACGUGUGUGUUUAUUUAGUCCCAAUCGUGAGUAAAUUGAUAAAAGACACGCAUUUUUGAUAGCUAGAAUGGUUUACUAUAUGUUAGGAGGUGUCUGAACAGAAAAAGCCGGAUGCCCAAAAAAAGUUAAACUGGGCAGAAAUUCGUAUGCUAUGGCAAGAGGUUUUGGCUCGAAUUGGACGAAACUUGAAAUGAGAGACAAUACCUCAUUUUUUUUCGAAACUAAGGUUUCCGAUGUCAAUAUGAGAAGAAUUGAAAAGAACAUAAUCUUAAAAAGUCACUCAAUACCAAUUAAAACAGCAAUUUCAAAAGCUUUAUAAAACACGGCAGGCGUGAGUUAUUUAGGCCCGAUCGCGAGUAAAUUGGUAAAUGACACUGAUUUUUAAGGCUAGAAUGGUUAACUAUAUGUUAGGAGGUGUCUGUAACCACCCUUGAACAAAAAAGCCGGAGGCCCAAAAAAAGUGAAAUUGGGCAGAAUCUCGUGUGUUAUAGUGAGGGGUUUUGGCUCUAAAUGGGUGAAAUUUGAAAUGAGGGACAAUACCUCAUUUUCAUUUAAUAAUAAGGAUCCAGGUGUCAAUAUGAAAAAAUUGAAGAGAACGGAAUCUUGGAAAGUCACUCAAUACAAUUUAAAACUGUAAUUUCAACAACUUUACAAAACACGGCACGCGUGAGUUUAUUUAGGCCCGAUCGCGAGUAAAUUGAUAAAAGACGCGCAUUUUUUGAGCUAGAAUGGUUCACUAUAUAUUAGGAGGUGUUUGUAAGCACACCCGAACGGAAAAAGUCAAAGGCCUAAAAAAAUGUGAAACUGGGCAGAAACUCGUGUGCUAUAGCAAGGGGUUUUAGCUCGAAUUAGGUGAAACUUGAAAUGAGGGACAAUACCUCAUUUUCUUUUGAAACUAGGGUUUCCGAUGUCAAUAUGAAAAGAAUUGAAGAGAACAUAAUCUUAAAAAGUCACUCAAGACCAAUUAAAAUAGCAAUUUUAACAACUUUACAAAACACGGCAGAUAUGAGUUAUUUAGGCCCGAUCGCAAGUAAAUUCAUAAAAGAAAUAGAUUUUUGAAGGUAGAAUGGUUCAAUAUAUUAUAUAUGUUAGGAGGUGUCUAUAACCACACAUGAAAGGAAAAAGCCAGAGUCCCAAAAAAAGUGAAAUCGGGCAGAAUCUCGUGUGUUAUAGUGAGAGGUUUUGGCUCUAAUUGGGUGAAAUUUGAAAUGAGGGACAAUACCUCAUAUUCAUUUAAUAAUAAUUAAGGAUCCCGGUGUCAAUAUGUAACACCCUGACCUAGGUGUUAAAAAAAAUAAAUGAAUAAAAUAAAUAAGGGAAUCCUAAAUCGAUCUCAAAAUCAAACAAAAACAACAAACAAACAUUUUUGACGCGUUUGGAACCUAAAUUUUUAUUUUGUUAAUUUACGGCUGCACCCAACACUUAAUCGGGCUGCCUACGUACCCUUUUAAAGGGAUCAAGCCACUCGUAGUUCAACAUAAAACAAGGAAGCAUACUCAAACUCAAAAACAGUGUGCAAGAUGCCGUCUUUGACAUCAAUUUCUACCCACUCAACUCCAACCAAAAUUACUGAACCCUAGCCUAUUUUAAAGAUGGUACUACAGGCUUUAAAUACAUAGCUUGAGUUUUGAAAACAAAGCCCUGGAUAGAAAGUUAUGAUCUUGCAAAGUUGGAGCAAAAUCUGAAAAUCCAGAAAACUCAGUUUUGCUGAGUCUGCUAUUGUUUUUGACAAGCUAUUUGUCACACCAAAAUGUAACCAAAACCUAUGAAAUUUAUCACACACAAUGAUGGAUAUAUGAGAUUUACCAAGGUAUUUUCAGAUUUCAAAACAAAGGCCUGAGCUGAAAGAUAUCAUGCCUCAAAGUAGGCAAGAAAAUCAGCUUUUCUGCAGAAUUCUGAAAAUUUACAGCAAGAACAAGACUUGGUUUUGGAAGCUUUAAUUCGACUUUUGAAGUAACAAAAACAAGUUCUAAAGCUUCAGAACAGAAAGCAACAGACUUCCAGAACACAAAAAUCAUCUUAAAACAUAACAAACAAGGAAUCAAAAUGACCCAAAAAUUUACUCUAGACACCCAAACUCUGGACAGCAAAACAACAAGGUU